CCCGUCACACCAUGGGAGUGGAUUGCACCAGAAAUGGCUGUGCUAACCGCAAGGAGGCAGGCCCUCAAGGUGUGGUUCAUGACUGGGGUG
RNAcentral lists this ribosomal RNA (90 nucleotides) under uncultured bacterium. Its description in RNAcentral is "partial 16S ribosomal RNA". It matches the Rfam family "Bacterial small subunit ribosomal RNA", at positions 1393 to 1482 of the family's 1533-position model. The record is from RNAcentral.